UGGUUUGGACAUGGGGCAUUAACUUACGCUUCCCACUAUCUGACAUUAUCCCUGUGAUGUGACUGAUUUAAGAGAGCCCAGUCACACAUUCAAUUACACAGGAGUAAGCUCCCCUACUCUGCUUGUUAGCUUUAACUUUGUACUUAUUCUGUGACCAAUCACCAUUACAACAUGCAGGAUCAAGCCCAAUUACUGAGAGAUGCUGAAGGCACUGACUAUCUCCUCCAGCACAACAUAAAGCAUGGAACAAUAACAAACAGUUCUGUUCAGUGGAACUAUAUAUCUAAGUCACUAAGGCAAGGUUUUACACAGAUUUGUAUUUUUUUCCUAAGUGUCUCAAAUUCACUAUUUAAUCCUUGAGGUGCUAAUAUUUAAAAAUCAGAAAUAUUUUUAAAAUAUCAUUCGAAAUGCUAUAAUCUUACAGAUCUAUUUCUGUGUAUAGGUGCAUAAUAUAUAUAUAUAAAGUGACAGAAGAGUGUUGACAUGAGGUGUUAGACAUACAUCGGCUCUGUGCACGUGCCACAAACAAAAUGAUUCUGUGGAGUGAAGAAGAUGCUUGCCUCUUGGUCCGCAGUAAGUCUCAACAUGGAACUAUCACAUGUGCAGGUUUGAAAAUAUAAACCAAACGCAAAGUGGAAAAGGUAACUGUUCAGAUUUCUUCUGAUUAUACCAAAAGCAUGGACAAACAUAGCUGUGGAUACUUGGAAAUGGAAGAACUCAAAGAGAUACAAAUGGACCAUGGUCUCACCAUUCCCGAACUUCAGAAGCACUAGCAUAGCACAGGUUAAUCUGCCGUUAUUAAUCAAUGGAAAGCAUGCUGAAGAGCAGAACCAUGCAAUAUUCUCAAAUCCAUUUGCAGUGUUAUUUCUACACAAAGUUUACUAUAGCUUCAUAAAACUCAAAAGAUGCACAAAAUCUCUUUGCAGUUUUUGCUUACUUUUCUCACUCUGUGGUUCUCAAAUCCAGCACUAGCUUAUUUUGUCUCACAGCAGAGCAUUCAAAGAAAGUAAUAAUUAGAUUAGUGUGAAUGAAUACAAAUUCAACAGUCUUAGUUACA
Molecule: long non-coding RNA, 1057 nt
Organism: Tympanuchus pallidicinctus (lesser prairie-chicken)
Lineage: Eukaryota; Metazoa; Chordata; Aves; Galliformes; Phasianidae
Exons: 2
Source: RefSeq, a predicted model, not a curated record